CUUUUUUUCAUUCUAGUUAUUAUCAUGGGAAGGAAUGAAGAAGAUUAGAGAUCCAAUCAAAUAUUGGUGAUGAAUCCCUCUCCCCCUCUUUUCUCUUUUUUCCCUUUUUAGAAUAAGGGAGGAAAGAGAAAGAAUAAAAACGCAAAAAGCGUGACUCUUUCCCUAAUCCAAGCAUAUAUCAACCGCAACAGUGCAACAUACAGAGGGAAGCCCAGAUCGAAGAUGCCUGGUCUAUAGAUAGCUCGAAUGCUUUGCUGUCCUAGAGUUGUAUUUGCUCCAGAAUUUCAAUAAUAGAAGGUCAGUUCUUCCAUUUCUUCACUGAAAAUUUAUUCAUGUCCAGUUAUUAGCUGGUAGAAAAAUAUACAUUGUUGAUUUAUAGCAUUCCAGUUUUCCUUUUUGUUGAGUUGUCCCACAUUGAAGGGAUUUGAGGUCUUUAGUCUCCUUAUAUGGCUUAGGCAAUCCUUACUUCAUAAGCUAGCUUUUGGGGUUGAGUUAGGCCCAAGGUCCAUUAUUAUCAUGGUAUCAAAGCCUGGCCCAUCUCAAUUAUUGUUACCGAUGUCGGGCUCCCAUUUAUGUUGUCCACGCUCCAGUGAUCUGGGCGUGAUGGGGGUGUUGAGUUGUCCCACAUCGGAGGGAUUUGAGGUCUUUAGUCUUCUUAUAUGGCUUGGGCAAUCCUCACUUCAUAAGCUAGCUUUUGGGAUUGAGUUAGGCCCAAGGUCCAUUCUUAUCACUUUUAUUGAUUUUUGUCGCGAUUGAUCUGAUUUGCUGCCUUCUCUCAACGUUAAAUAAUCUUAAUUCAUGUGAGUUUCAAGCUAUUUGAGUUCUAAAAUGGUUCGUCAUGCCUUGUUGCGGCAGAUUUAAGCUUAGACUUUGACUACACUUGAUGGGAAGAAAAAGUAUCCCUCUGCAGUAUCGUGUCUGUGUUGAUUCUUUGUGUUAGAGUGUUUUGCUUUCUUUAUUAUGAAAAGAGAAAACAGAAAUGCUAGCUUGGGCUCAAUUAUUUUUGCGAAGGAUAUCGACGGUUUGGCAAAUGUGGAACUUGAGUUGGAAUUUCAUUUAUUUGUGAAAUGUUUAAGGAUGUGCAUGUGUGUGGAUUGAUUUGUUCAUAUACCUCCAAAUAUUUAGCGUUCAUGUGAACUCAUUUCUUUGGAAUUUGAGAUUAUUAUCUAUUUUAUUCAAGCUUAAUGUUAAUUGUUCGUGUGGUGAUAUAAUUUUAUUAUUUAUAUAGUUGAUCUCUACGGUUUUGAAUUUGUUCACUUAGCUAUUUGUUCGUAUGUUUACUUAAAUUGGUUAUAGCUGAAUAUAAUUUUGUCUCGGUAUAAAAUUUGGAUUGUUGAACUACGUAAGUAGAUUCAAUAAACCGGGGUACAUUUCAUGUGAUAUGGCUUCAAUUUCGAACAAGGUUAGAUAAAGCGGGUCGUGAACCACGGGUGCAUUUCAUGUGACGUGGCUUCCGAUAUGUUUUAAAUAAUCUUGAAUUUUCCUUGAAUAAAUAAAAGCGGUUAGAAAGUUUACGGCCCUCCAACUGUUCUUUUAAAUUAGAAUAAGAGGGGUGUCCUGCCGUACAAAAAUGACAAUUGCACGGCCCUUAUUUGGUUAAUCUUGUUUUGUCCUUAGAAUUCGGGAUGGGCCGUUUAGCGAAUUUCACGGCCUUCCCCAAAGAUAAUAAUGCGUUAGUAUCUUUAGGCACGUAUUUUAAUAAUAUUACCUUCCUAAACUCGGGUGUUUCAUUUCAUGUGACCCAAAUCAAAUCCCAAAACGUUGAACAAAAUGUGUUCAGGAUUGCGGGUGCAUUUCAUGUGACACGGUCCAAAGAUACGUUUUAAACGAUGCUCAAUCUUCUAUUAAAAAAUAAUGGAGUAAAAGCCGUUAAAAGUUAAAAUUGGCACAUAGGUUCAUCAUAUAAUAAAAUCAGAUAAAUAAUCUAAACACGACAGUUGAGCGACCGUGCUUGAACCACGGAAUCUGGGAAUGUCUAACACCUUCUCCCGUGUUAACAAAAUUCCUUACUUGGAUUUUUGGUUCGCAGACUGUUAACAGAGUCAUGUUUUCCUCGGUUCGGGAUUCAACCGGUGAUUUGGGACACCAUUAAUCUCCCAAGUGGCGACUCUGAAUUUUAGUAACAAAUCCCGUUCCGAUUGUCCUUUAAUUGGAAAAACUCCUUUAUGCCUUUGCGAAUGUUGUGAAAAAGGAGGUGUGACAGCUCUGGCAACUCUGUUGUGGACAAGAACCCAAAACAUUUGUUGAGGGUUCAGAAUUUGGGCUUAGGAGAAUUGUUGUGUUUGGCUUUAUCUGAUUUUGUUACAUGAUCUGUGCCGAAUAUGUUAGUUGACUGCUUUUACUGCUUUGAUAUUUCGUGGAUUGUAUAUAAACUGUCCGAAACCCGUAUUCUCUCUGAGUCUUCUAAAUCAUGAAGAAGGGUGCACUUCGGUGACUUAUUUUCUGUAUAUAGUCUAAUUCCCAUUUAUAACGAGGUUCGGAUAAGUUGCUAAGCUGGCGAAGCUUCUGUAUUCCCCUUCGCUGCCUAUCCCUCGGCUCGAGCUGUCCGCUUAGGUAAGCCAGGUCUAGUACAAUAAACCCAGAUUUUUAAACCUAGAAUAACAAAGCGUCAUGGUGGAUCCUUGGUAGGAGCACUUUCUUGCAUCAUGUGCAGUUUGGCGUCGGGGACUUAACACAGGAGUUGGGUUCGUCUAGGACAGGUGCAUCCAAAAUAACAUACCAGCUUGAUGCAUCCUAUGUGCAACAUGUUGUAUUUCUUCAAAGGGUAAAAGGGUUAUUUGGCGGACCAAUGAAAGCUGAGGGUAAAUGAAAAAAAAGAAGGAAAAAAGAAAAUGAGGGUGAAGUGUCAAGACAAAGCAAGUUGGGCCCAAUUAUAUUUUUAAAAAAAGAAGAGCUUGAAAAUUCAGAAAAAAAAAAGAUUUUGUACUUUUUCAUCAUUUUUCAAAAAUCAGAAAAUCAAAAAAUUAGGAGAAAAAAAUCCAUAAAGAUUUUGUAUGUUUCAUCAUUUUUUAAGAAAAGCGAAAAAUAUGUUUUCUCUAAAUUAGUUUUUCUUUUUUAUUAUUCUCACCCGUAUCUGGCCGAACUAUGCAUACUCAAUUCUCGUCUUUCGGGGCGUGAUACGUAGGAAACCCACAUAGGGUCUGGUCUUCCUAGUACAUCUUAGGUUCUUGGCUUCGCGGGGUCUUAGCCAAAUCUUGUAUUUUUAGCCAUUUUAAGCCACAUAGGUUAAUUUUAGAAAAAUAUUCACAACCAUAUCUUGCAUGUAUCUAGUAGGGAAUGUUAUUAUCUCACAUAAUAUUGGUUUAAGUUUUCUCAUGCAGGUGUGGAUUUAUUUAUCAGAUUUUGAGCAUAACAGAUACUCAGGAUCACUGCAUUAAGAAGUUGCUUAAGGAGAUUUCUUUUAUGUCGUCUUUUAUUUUCUAGUUUUGUCUAGUAAUGUCGAAGUUAUUUUAUUACUUCCAUUUUUUGUUUUGCAUCUGGAAAAGUAUGUUAUAAAUCAAAAACAAAUGUUACAUUUUAUAUUUCCG
RNAcentral lists this long non-coding RNA (3527 nucleotides) under Nicotiana benthamiana. RNAcentral describes it as "long non-coding RNA (NBEN_LNC009389)". Lineage: Eukaryota; Viridiplantae; Streptophyta; Magnoliopsida; Solanales; Solanaceae. The record is from RNAcentral.